UCCCUUAAUAACCAGGGGCAAAAAUGAAAUCUAAAAAAUUAAAAACCUCGCCUUCCUUUUUUCUCCUUUCCCUCUUGCCCUAAUUAUCGACGCUCAAAUGAAAACGAACGACUAGACGCAAAGUUGAAAUUGGUCGGAGAAUACGGUCUACGAUGCAAGCGAGAGCUCUGGAGGAUGCAAUAUGCACUCAGCAAAAUCCAUAAUGUUGCGAGAAUGCUUCUAACUCUUGAGGAGAAAGAUCCACGAAGAAUCUACAAAGGCGAAGCUCUCAUGAGGAGGAUAAACAAGUACGGUUUGCUGGAUGAACGUUCUUCCCCUCACUGUUGAAAACUUUAUUGAACGUCGUCUUCAAACCCUCAUCUUCAUUGAACAGACUAUUUAUCUUAUCAAAAAAUCAUAGGGACCAUUAUCUAGGGAUUUUUUCAAGGAGUGCUCUCUGCAACACACUCUACCUCAGCUCUCCUCACCUGCAAGCAACCUAAACUCACCUCUUUCGACACACCUCAACAACACCACUACAACUCAUUCUCAGCCGUCGACUUACUCUGCUGACCGAUGUUCUUGGUAUCGCCAACUUCCUGCCUUCUGAGGCUCACCUCACCUCACCGGAGACUGCGAUGAAUGCUCAGGUUUACAAUCCCUAGGUCCGAAUAAGGUAUGUUUUGUUUCAAAUUUUGUGAGUUAUCAUAGAUGAAGGAUCAAUUUUUUUUCGUUUCGAAUUCCGUUCAUUUGUCGUCAGAUCUACUUCUUUAUAGCGAAACAAGUACUGCAUCAAUUUUCUCUAAUGUAAGCGAUUCAAGAUCUUCCCCCGGGCCACCAUUUUGAGGGUUACAACGCAUCAUUAUUUAUAUAAAAAAACAUCUUGAUUUGAAUUCAACUCGUUUGAAGAGACACAUUUUCUCUCUUGUCAAAAAAUGGAACUACCUUUGCUUUGAUAUCAAAUCUGGUGCUUUCCACCUCAUUAAAGUACCAUGUAUUGCAUCUGAGUAUAAAUAUUCUAGCUUUCGUUUCCCACAACUUCUUGUUUCCAACUAUGUUGUGACAAUAUGUAUUCAACUCUUUGUAUUGGUGCAAACUGGAAUAUAAUCGUGGGCAAAGAAAACUAAAAUUUUCCAUUAUCACGAAUCCCCUUUCACUUUCCUUUCUAAUCCAUCCUCAUCCCCAUGGUAAAAUCGAUUCCAUGUUUUUUAUAAUUUAGAUUGUUUCAGGUUCUUUAUUAGGUUGGCGAAUCAGGUUCAAUUUUGGGGUUAAUCGGUAUCUAAAAACUCUUUUCCUGAUGUGAAAUUGGGUUCAUGGUUUUUCCAUUCGUUUGUGUGUUAUUUGUUGUAGACAGAAGUCCCAGCUGUUGAGUUGUCGAUUACCUCUUCCAAGCUGCCAACAACCUCCUCCUAAUGAAAAAUUCUAUGUUUACCCACCCACUUGAUGUUAGAUUGAAAAGAAAGUUUCAGCUGCACACCAACUGCUUGAUGAAAUGCUUGAACCAUAUUUCUGAAGUUUCAUUUUGGUUGCUUUACUAUUUAACAACAGGUUGUUGUUUGAUUUCAAGGGCUGUCCAUCAAAUCAUGCAAGUCGCUUAAAUUCAAGAUUGAAAGCUCUUAAACACAACUUUGGUAGCUAUCAUCUCCUGUGAUCCAGAUAUAAUGAAGGAUUAGGCUAACAUCUUAGGUCAUAAAUGUACACUCAGCAAUAAACCCAAUUUAAAUGAAGAAUCCUGUGUUUCUAAUCAAACGGAAAUUGGAUUCAAGAACCUGAAUGAAUAGAACUCAAGUAACAAAAAAGAUGCAUCUUCAAAAGGCAAAGCUAAUGCAUUUUCACUACUUGGAAAAUGUUUUAAUUAGGUAAAUUAGUUUUCAUUAUUUUUAAGUACAUUUCUUUCUGGGUCUUUUUUUCAUUAACAUCUUCUUUAUUUUCAGUUUUUUUAUUUGAAUUAUCUUGAGAUUCUACCACUUAUAAAAAAAAUUUCUUAAACUUCUUAAACAUUACUGGCAUUGCCUAUAUUUUCACUACUUGUAUGUUGCUGUAAAAUGCAAGUCGUUAAGGGUGUAAAGCUUUUGAGUACACAUAGUAUUUUGAAUAAUCAUGAGUGUCAUUACCUUGAAGUUAAUGAAAAUAAUUCACCUUUUGAAAGAACCUUCUUCUAUUUGUCAAGUUUCGGGUCAUGGCAGGAAUCCGGGAGACAGAAAGAGUAUCAACAAACAAAAGAACAAACACCUACCAUUGUUUCAUUCUGAGAGAUGGAAGUGCAUCAAUAAAAGACAUGGUAUCUAGUAAACAACCCUACCAAUGAAUAAUUAUUAUCAUUAUAAUCACUCAGUUUUAAAUGUAUUUAGAUUUAUUUUUCAAGAAAAAAGUUAUCCAAUUGUAGCAAAUGGCAUCCAAAUACCACUCUACUAGAGAUAUAAUUGGGUAACUUUUUCAAAGUAGAAACAAUCAAAUGACUUUCUGGAAAAAGAUGGAAAGCAAUAAACAUAAUCGAAAGUAUGAUAAGAAAUAAAUGAAAGUAGGUUGUAAUUAUAUUUACCAUCAUGGAUUCAAUGGUAGAAACGGGAGUGGGAAGUCUGAGAUAAUGAACUAAAAUUUUUAAUUAUAAAACAGUUGCAAAAUUAAUCUUGUGUUUGUAGUUGAAUAUGGAGCAUUAGGUUUAGGUUAUUUAUAUCACUACAUAGCUUUGGAGGAGAUUAGUUGUGCUUCAUGAUCAGUUAGAAGAACCUUUGGUGCCCAUUCUAAUCUUUGUAUUGAUCAAUUGGUGAGAAAUGGAAGUGCUGCACAAAAGGAGAAAUAUUCACCCAAGUUAAUUAGUGGGGAUCAUGUUGGAGCUCUUGCAAUGAGUGAAACUAAUGCUGGUUCAGAUGUUGUUGGAAUGAAAUGUAAUGUUGAACGUGUUGACGGUGGUUAUGUUUUAAAUGGGAAUAAGACGUGGUUCACCAAUGGCCCAACUGCUCAAACAUUAGUAAUAUGAUCUUAACUUUUAAAAUAAAAUAUCUUGAAAUUUGAGUAUAUUUUAAAGAUAUUGACUUUGUCAAAAUUAGGUGGUUUAUGUUAAAACAGAUGUAGCUGCUCGUUCAAAAUUAGUCCAGGCAAAGCUCAAGAAAGAAAGCCUGCGAGAGUUGUCUUAAUUUCAGCAGACCGGCCGUCUGCCAAUACAAUUAUCCACGGAUACUCCUUCCCAUUAACCUUAGGUAAUGUAGUUAGGUGAAAGACUUGUUGUCAUCAUUUUUCUGUUUUUAUAAACUCAUCCAUUUUUUAGUGAACUCAUAUGAAAAGCACUUUUAUUAUCUGUCUAGUUGGGUGGGAGGCAUCCGUGUGUAGAAGGACAUUUAUGCUAACAUUGAGUUGUCUCAAAUAAUACUAUGCCAUUUGUUUUUUUCUAAUUUAUGGAAUUAUUAUUUUUGGAGGUCUCCUUGCACCUACAUUGGAGCUGAAAUUGGGAAUAGGAGGGACAUCAUAUGCAGUUUUCAUUUCUAGCAUGCAUCUUCCUAUGCAGUUGAGCUUUGAUGGUGGUUGAAAUAAACAAUGUAAAACAACAGGAGCAUAAAAGAUGUUCUCUUGGUUGUUGGUGACUGCAUGUUAGUUGGCUUACAGGUACUGCUAUCCCCUUGACUGAGGAGGGUGGUAAUUUGCUUCCAAAAAAAUGGGUCUAUUCUCAGCUCUAUAAAGUCCUUUUCAAAUCUUUAGAAAUUUAUGAGGGGGGUGAAAUAGUUCGAGUCACUAUCAGAGUCUAUAUGGAACAGGAUAAAAAGCUGGAGAGGCCAACCCUAUCUGAAGAAGAAGAGAGAAGGGGUGGUCCGGCGGGUAGGGGGGGCUCGUCAGGGGGAGCAAAUCGAUAAGUCCUUCGAAAGAUAGGGCUUCCCGGAGAAUUUGGUGUCUUUCUAUUUGGAAACAAAGGACCAUAAGUCUAAUUAGACACUUCGUCUUUAUUGUUCCACUAGCUAGGAUAAAAUUAUAAGAUGUCCCUUGCAUUAUUACAACCUUCUUUUUUGAUGUCAAAGACCAGAAGCUACGCGAAAAUUUUCAUUGGAUCUCGGUUGUUCUUAACAGCGAUGGCUAUUCAUUUAAGUCUUCGGGUAGCACCACUAGACCUUCAACAAGGUGGAAAUUCUCGUAUUCCUUAUGUACACGUUCCUACGGCUCGGAUGAGUAUUCUUGUUUAUAUCGCUACGGCUAUAAACACGUUCUUGUUCCUAUUAACAAAACAUCCCCUCUUUCUUCGCUCUUUCGGAACCGGUACAGAAAUGGGUGCUUUUUCUACGUUGUUUACCUUAGUUACUGGGGGGUUUCGGGGAAGACCUAUGUGGGGCACCUUUUCGGACAUAUAUCCAAUUAUGCCAAUUUUGGUGUACGUGUCCAAGGUUGAUGGGAAGUUCAAUUUUAGCCCCAUCAGUGUUAAAUUUCUAACAGAAGGUGCAAAAGUUAUCUUUGCACUUGUCAUGCUUCUAAUACAAAAUAUAUGAUGCUAACUUGUUGGCUUGGUUAUUAGGAUAAAAAUCAGAAGAUUGGAGAGAAGCCACUUCUUUCUGUCUCCAGCUUUGUACAGGCAACUCGCAACAAUGUGCUUCUUGUUGUUCCAGCUCGCAACAAAGCAUUCCUCUAUGCUUUUAAUUACACUCUAAAUUCCUUUGCGUUUUUUGUUCGUAUAUUACAAACACCAAUUUCUUUCAAACAACAGAAGAUCUAGAGUUUAAUUGGGUGAUUGAAGGUGAUGGAUGUAAACUUGAUUCUGGAACUCUCAGUCUACCAACAUUAGAGUUUAAUUGGGUGAUUGAAGGUGAUUUUGGUUCUUGAAACGAGACUUAGGAUAUCAUAUUUUGGCAUGGCUAGAAACUUUGGAGGAAACGAGACUCACGCAAAAGUAAACACAGAGAGUUGUUGGCAUAUAGUAAGCUAGAUAAUGCAAUUGUAUAUAAAUGAGUUCAUUUUUUUUAUAACAUUUACUCACUUUUGGAAUAAUUAUUUGUAUUUGACAUAUUAGUGAAAUGAAUUAUCUUUGUUAUUUAUGGUA
Molecule: non-coding RNA, 4999 nt
Organism: Lactuca sativa (garden lettuce)
Lineage: Eukaryota; Viridiplantae; Streptophyta; Magnoliopsida; Asterales; Asteraceae
Source: RefSeq, a predicted model, not a curated record